Molecule: ribosomal RNA, 253 nt
Filed under: uncultured bacterium
Lineage: Bacteria
Description: partial 16S ribosomal RNA
Rfam family: Bacterial small subunit ribosomal RNA
Source: RNAcentral
AACGUAGGACGCAAGCGUUAUCCGGAUUCACUGGGCGUAAAGGGUGCGUAGGUGGUUGGGUAAGUCUGAGGUGAAAUCUCCGAGCUUAACUCGGAAACUGCCUUGGAUACUAUCCAGCUUGAGGGUUGGAGGGGGGACUGGAAUUCUCGGUGUAGCAGUGAAAUGCGUAGAUAUCGAGAGGAACACCAGUGGCGAAGGCGAGUCCCUGGACAACUCCUGACACUGAGGCACGAAAGCUAGGGGAGCAAACAGG